UGAGGGAAUAUUGGUCAAUGGACGCAAGUCUGAACCAGCCAUGCCGCGUGCAGGAAGACGGCUCUAUGGAGUUAGUAAACUGCUUUUGUACGAGGGUAAACGCAGAUACGCGUAUCUGUCUGAAAGUAUCGUACGAAUAAGGAUCGGCUAACUCCGUGCC
This 160-nucleotide ribosomal RNA is filed under the name uncultured bacterium. Its description in RNAcentral is "partial 16S ribosomal RNA". It matches the Rfam family "Bacterial small subunit ribosomal RNA", at positions 354 to 509 of the family's 1533-position model. The record is from RNAcentral.